CACAUGAGAUGGUACAUGCAUGGCAUGCCGCGUUUCGCGUCCAGAUGGCGAGCUGCGCUGCGCAGAUAGCCUAUAGCCAGACACAAUCGUCCCGUCGGGGUGGUCGACCAAGGAGAGCCAUUCGUCUGCCCCAGGCGCGCACGAUGGCCACUUCGACGCUUCCCUCGCACCCAUAGUCGAAUCCACCUCUCCAGAGGAGGCCGGGGAGUCAAAAAUCUUGCUAGCAUCUGCGCCGAGCCGAUCGAGCACGCAAGCAAAAAAGCCACGUAAGUGCACAGGGUAAGGCGAGGACAGGCGCCAUGCUCCGCCUGUUCCCGCUCUCCCUCUCCGCCCAGUACCGGAGCGGUGGCCCGCCGCCGCACCGCUGCUUCGUCGACGGCGGCUCGCCGUCCCAGAGAACCGGGCCAGGGCUCCACGCCAACAACGGAUUUGGCGUUAGAGUCCGGAGGCGAGCGCUCCGCGGGGCAGACGUCCAGCCGGACACCCCGUCGUCGCGCCGGGACGGGGAUAAGCCGCUGCACGCGGAUGCGCAACAGGGGGAGGACGGCGGCGUGGAGCUGCUGGACUCGGUAAGGAAGCUGCUGCUGGAGGACGCCGAGCCGGGGGAGGAGGAGCAGGGCCAGUUCCCGAAGCGCUGGGCCAUAGUCUUCCUCUGCUUCUCCGCCUUCCUCCUCUGCAACAUGGACCGUGUAAACAUGAGCAUUGCCAUCAUGCCCAUGUCCGUGGAGUACGGCUGGAACCCGCAAACCGUCGGCCUCAUCCAGUCGUCCUUCUUUUGGGGCUACCUCCUAACUCAGAUAGCAGGAGGGAUAUGGGCAGACAAAGUUGGGGGGAAGACUGUUCUUGGUUUCGGCGUGAUUUGGUGGUCCGUCGCCACAGCUCUUACGCCUGUGGCUGCAAAGCUAGGCUUGCCAUUUCUCCUUAUUGUGCGUGCUUUUAUGGGAAUUGGCGAGGGGGUUGCCAUGCCUGCAAUGAAUAACAUACUUUCAAAAUGGGUUCCAGUAUCAGAGAGGAGCAGAUCACUGGCUCUUGUAUAUAGUGGGAUGUACCUUGGGUCAGUGACAGGACUCGCAUUUUCACCAUUCCUGAUACAUAAGUUUGGGUGGCCAUCAGUCUUCUAUUCCUUCGGCUCUCUCGGGACUGUCUGGUUCGCGACAUGGGCGACCAAGGCUUAUAGUACUCCACUUGAGGAUCCGGGGAUUAGUUCUGAAGAAAAGAAGCUUAUCAUUAGCCAAACCACAUCAGGAGAGCCUGUUACAACAAUUCCAUGGGGAGUAAUACUGUCAAAACCGCCUGUUUGGGCACUUAUAGCUUGCCACUUUUGCCAUAACUGGGGAACUUUUAUCUUGCUCACAUGGAUGCCUACAUAUUACAACCAGGUUUUGAAAUUCAACCUCACGGAGUCCAGCCUUUUCUGCGUCCUUCCCUGGCUAACGAUGGCGAUUUCUGCAAAUGUUGGUGGUUGGAUUGCAGACACACUUGUUAGUAGAGGAACAUCAGUGACAACGGUUCGCAAGAUCAUGCAAUCAAUUGGAUUCUUAGGGCCAGCCUUUUUCCUCAGUCAACUGAGCCAUAUCGAUUCACCAGCACUGGCAGUCUUAUGCAUGGCUUGUAGCCAGGGAACCGACGCAUUUUCUCAGUCUGGUCUAUACUCCAAUCAUCAAGAUAUCGGUCCUCGAUACGCUGUAAUCAUCUGACUUUAUCAUAACAUUUCAGUGGACUAUAAUCUUACAUGUUCUGUAAAGUCGUACUCCCUCUAUCACAGUUUAUAAGACAUGCACGUAUACCUAGGUGUAAAUUUGACUUAUAUAAAAUAUAUUCUUUAAAAUACAAAUUAUAUCAUUAAAAAAUAAAACAUCUAAAGUUUCUAAUGAUAUAUUUUUGUAAUAUAUGUCUCUUAUUAAGUUGGUUAAAUUAACGACCUAGAUACACGUGUCGGGCUUAUAAACUGAAACGGAGAGAGUAGUGCAUUUAUGCUACCAAAAGGUGAUGAACUUCCUGCCCCCCCACCCCAACAAAAACCACGCCGUCGCCGGAGGAGGCCAGGCCGCCGCCGCGCCCUUCUCGCCCCCUUCCUCACCACGCCGUCACCGGAGGAGGCCGCCGGGCUAAGCCCGCGCGGUGGACGGCGGCGGCGGGGCUUUCCUUCCCUCUCGCUCGACGGGAGGCGCUCGCGGUGGGGGAGGCUCGACCCCAUCUGCUGCGUUGCCUGGGGCUGCGGCGCCUUGGGCUGCUGGAUGGGCUUCGGCCGACGGAUCUUCGCCGGCGGCCUGGGGGUGUGGCAGCCUCCCUUGGCCUCCCCGCAUCUGCAUCGGGCGAAGGCGGUCUUCCCGCGGCUCCUUCGUCUGGCGUCUGGAGGAUGCUUCGGCGGCGGUGCGGUUGUCAGAUCCGGGACUGCCAGAUCCGGCCUUCUCGCGACAGCCUGGGGCUCCGGUGGUGGAUCUGGCGAUGCGGGUGCGGUGGGCUGGAUCUAGUUGGUUCGGGACGGGGUGGCAGUCCUCCCUCCCGGCUCUGGUGGUGCUCAUUGGUUGCAGCGCGGUGGUGCAGUGGUGGUGGGCGCCAGAUGAUGGCCCGGCUUGGCUGCUGGCGAGGCUUGUGGUGGCUCUUGUGUGGCGACAACGCGGUUGCCGCACGGGAGGUGAGCGGGUCAGUGGAUUGCUGCGUGUGAGGGUGAUGUCCAAGACGUUCCAGGUGAAAGCCUGCACGGUUGUUGUCCGGCCGGUGGCGGCGGCGCCCGUGGGCGUCGUUCACCUCCUUGCAGUCGUUCCCCUCCUUGCAGGCGCUGCCAUGGAGAUCUUCGACCUCCCACCAUCGGUACAAGACCUUUGGGUGAAAGCCUAAGGUCCGGUGUCGGGUCGGGCGACGGCAUCGUCCUUGUCGCUUUUCCCCUUGGGGGCGUCGCUUUGAAGCUCUUUGUUCCCGUUCGAGCAUUCCAUAGGCUGGACGCUCACAACAUUGCGGUUGGCUUGUGUCCAACCGGUGAUGCGGGUGGUUGGCGUUGCGACUUGUGCGGCGACGUUGAUGGUGGUGGUGCGUGGAGCUGGGUCGCGGCUUGUCCUUCUGAUGUUGAAGGUUUCGGUUCGCCAAUGGAUGUGCCUAUGUUUGUUCCCCGUUGUGACAGAGAAGUCGGAGCUGCGUGUGGUGGGGCCCAUGCGGCUGCGACGACUCCAUGAGGGCGUCUUCAGUGGAUGGUGCUCUUCGGAGGUUGCACUGGACCAGGUCGGCACGAGGCUUGCAACUUUUCUCCAGUGAAGCACAUCAGCAAAAUCAGAGCUGUCUGUCCUCGACGUCUCCGGUCGAUUGUAUGGCUAUGGCUGGCGAGGUCCUUGUGUGUCGUCCGUUCGGAGGGGCCUUGACGGGUUGUCAGUGGCGAAGUUGGAGUCGCCUGCUCGGGGAGAGGUGAUGAUGAUAACAUUGCGGUCUACCUCGACGGUGUCCUCUCCUCGGUGGUGUCCGUGGUCUUGUUGGUGUCAGGUCGGUCGGGUGCCCUUCUAUGUGUGUGUUGUAACGGUUUUUGCCCAGGGUGUACUACUUGGUCUCUCCAACACAGCUGGGGUUCUAGCUGGUGUAUUUGGCACAGCAGCAACAGGCUACAUCUUGCAGCACGGUCUGC
This is an RNA transcript of Hordeum vulgare subsp. vulgare (domesticated barley), 3613 nucleotides long. It is a transcript of the gene named probable anion transporter 1, chloroplastic, with no coding region annotated. The record is from RefSeq and is a predicted model, not a curated record. NCBI's taxonomy places the organism in Eukaryota, Viridiplantae, Streptophyta, Magnoliopsida, Poales, Poaceae. The transcript is spliced from 9 exons.